UACGGGGGGUGCGAGCGUUGUUCGGAUUUACUGGGCGUAAAGGGCGCGUAGGCGGCUUAACAAGUCACUUGUGAAAUCUCCGGGCUUAACUCGGAACGGCCAAGUGAAACUGUCAAGCUAGAGUGCAGAAGGGGCAAUCGGAAUUCUUGGUGUAGCGGUGAAAUGCGUAGAUAUCAAGAGGAACACCUGCGGCGAAGGCGGGUUGCUGGGCUGACACUGACGCUGAAGCGCGAAAGCUAGGGGAGCGAACGGG
Molecule: ribosomal RNA, 253 nt
Filed under: uncultured bacterium
Lineage: Bacteria
Description: partial 16S ribosomal RNA
Rfam family: Bacterial small subunit ribosomal RNA
Source: RNAcentral